UCUUCCCUCUGGCGUCGUGCCUAAUACAUGCAAGUCGAGCGAACAGACGAGGAGCUUGCUCCUCUGACGUUAGCGGCGGACGGGUGAGUAACACGUGGAUAACCUACCUAUAAGACUGGGAUAACUUCGGGAAACCGGAGCUAAUACCGGAUAAUAUAUUGAACCGCAUGGUUCAAUAGUGAAAGACGGUUUUGCUGUCACUUAUAGAUGGAUCCGCGCCGCAUUAGCUAGUUGGUAAGGUAACGGCUUACCAAGGCGACGAUGUGUAGCCGACCUGAGAGGGUGAUCGGCCACACUGGAACUGAGACACGGUCCAGACUCCUACGGGAGGCAGCAGUAGGGAAUCUUCCGCAAUGGGCGAAAGCCUGACGGAGCAACGCCACGUGAGUGAUGAAGGUCUUCGGAUCGUAAAACUCUGUUAUUAGGGAAGAACAAAUGUGUAAGUAACUAUGCACGUCUUGACGGUACCUAAUCAGAAAGCCACGGCUAACUACGUG
RNAcentral lists this ribosomal RNA (497 nucleotides) under uncultured bacterium. Its description in RNAcentral is "partial 16S ribosomal RNA". It matches the Rfam family "Bacterial small subunit ribosomal RNA", at positions 36 to 507 of the family's 1533-position model. The record is from RNAcentral.